GAUGAAGAACGUAGCGAAAUGCGAUAACUAAUGUGAAUUGCAGAAUUCAGUGAAUCAUCGAAUCUUUGAACGCACAUUGCGCCCCCUGGUAUUCCGGGGGGCAUGCCUGUCCGAGCGUCAUUACAACCCUCAAGCUCAGCUUGGUGUUGGGCCCCGCCGCCCCGGCGGGCCCUAAAGUCAGUGGCGGUGCCGUCCGGCUCCGAGCGUAGUAAUUCUUCUCGCUCUGGAGGUCCGGUCGUGUGCUCGCCAGCAACCCCCAAUUUUUUUCAGGUUGACCUCGGAUCAGGUAGGGAUACCCGCUGAACUUAAGCAUAUCAAUAAGCGGAGGA
RNAcentral lists this unclassified non-coding RNA (329 nucleotides) under soil metagenome. RNAcentral's name for it is "partial contains 5.8S ribosomal RNA, internal transcribed spacer 2, and large subunit ribosomal RNA". The stretch from base 1 to 120 matches the Rfam family "5.8S ribosomal RNA", at positions 35 to 154 of the family's 154-position model. The record is from RNAcentral.